AACGAACGCUGGCGGCAGGCUAAAACCAUGAAAUUCAACCGACCGGGGGCCUCGGUUCCCGAAGCUAGUUGCGCAACGGGGGGGUAAAUGGGGGGAUAAUCCCCUUUGUAUGGGAUUAACAAAGGAAACUUUUGCCAAAACCGGUAACGGCCCUUCGGGGGAAGGUUUUAUCGCUAAAGGAUUAGCCCGCGUCGGAUUAGGUAGUUGGUGAGGAAAUGGCUCACCAAGCCGACGAUCAGUAGCUGGCCUGAGAGGAUGAUCAGCCACACUGGAACUGAGACACGGCCCAGACUCCUACGGGAGGCAGCAGUGGGGAAUAUUGGACAAUGGGGGCAACCCUGAUCCAGCCAUGCCGCGUGAGUGAAGAAGGCCUUCGGGUUGUAAAGCUCUUUCGACGGGGACGAUGAUGACGGUACCCGUAUAAGAAGCCCCGGCAAACUUCGUG
This 445-nucleotide ribosomal RNA is filed under the name uncultured bacterium. RNAcentral describes it as "partial 16S ribosomal RNA". It matches the Rfam family "Bacterial small subunit ribosomal RNA", at positions 29 to 507 of the family's 1533-position model. The record is from RNAcentral.